Molecule: long non-coding RNA, 311 nt
Filed under: Mytilus galloprovincialis (Mediterranean mussel)
Lineage: Eukaryota; Metazoa; Mollusca; Bivalvia; Mytilida; Mytilidae
Source: RNAcentral
UUUAAUCCCGCUGCAAAUGUUUGCACCUGUCCUAAGUCAGUAAUCUGAUGUACAGUAGUUGUCGUUUGUUUAUGUAAUAUAUACGUGUUUCUCGUUUCUCGUUUUGUUUAUAUAGAUUAGACCGUUGGUUUUCCCGUUUGAAUGGUUUUACACUAGUAAUUUUGGGGCCCUUUAUAGCUUGUUGUUCGGUGUGAGCCAAGGCUCCGUGUUGGAGGCCGUACUUUAACCUAUAAUGGUUUACUUUUUAAAUUGUUAUUUGUAUGGAGAGUUGUCUCAUUGGCACUCACACCACAUCUUCCUAUAUCAAGGUA